UACGUAGGGUGCGAGCGUUAAUCGGAAUUACUGGGCGUAAAGCGUGCGCAGGCGGCGCGUUAAGACAGGUGUGAAAGCCCCGAGCUUAACUUGGGAAUUGCGCUUGUGACUGGCGAGCUGGAGUGUGGCAGAGGGAGGUGGAAUUCCACGUGUAGCAGUGAAAUGCGUAGAGAUGUGGAGGAACACCGAUGGCGAAGGCAGCCUCCUGGGCCGAUACGUGACGCUGAGGAGCGAAAGCGUGGGGAGCGAAACAGG
This 255-nucleotide ribosomal RNA is filed under the name uncultured bacterium. RNAcentral describes it as "partial 16S ribosomal RNA". It matches the Rfam family "Bacterial small subunit ribosomal RNA", at positions 524 to 776 of the family's 1533-position model. The record is from RNAcentral.